This 253-nucleotide ribosomal RNA is filed under the name uncultured bacterium. RNAcentral's name for it is "partial 16S ribosomal RNA". It matches the Rfam family "Bacterial small subunit ribosomal RNA", at positions 524 to 776 of the family's 1533-position model. The record is from RNAcentral.
UACAGAGGGGGCAAGCGUUGUUCGGAAUUACUGGGCGUAAAGGGCGCGUAGGCGGCCUGCUAAGUCGAACGUGAAAUCCCUCGGCUUAACCGGGGAACUGCGUCUGAUACUGGAUGGCUUGAGUUUGGGAGAGGGAUGCGGAAUUCCAGGUGUAGCGGUGAAAUGCGUAGAUAUCUGGAGGAACACCGGUGGCGAAGGCGGCAUCCUGGACCAACACUGACGCUGAGGAGCGAAAGCCAGGGGAGCAAACGGG